Paramuricea clavata is the source of this 419-nucleotide non-coding RNA. NCBI's taxonomy places the organism in Eukaryota, Metazoa, Cnidaria, Anthozoa, Malacalcyonacea, Plexauridae. The record is from the annotation of a GenBank genome assembly.
UGCCAAUAUCAGUUCUUAUAUUUUCUAUGUGUUCUAUAAAGUUUCACGCUUUUACAGAAACGCAUCAAUCUUUGGAAUUUGGGUUACCACCCUUUUUUCAAAUAAGUUAUAUACCAAUUUUACACUAUGAAGUGUAUCUUAUUUCCCAGUGGAACAGGUUUGGCAUUUCGAAAAUAAUUUAUACUUUUAAUACGUAUACAGGUUCUUUACUAAAACAUUCUUUCACAUUACAAUUAUUAUUACCAUUACAUUAUUCCCAAUCAAACAAAUCAAUAUAAGUUUAUAUCAGUCUAAAUCAAGAGUUAUAUCAAAACGAAAUUAAGAUCUUGUCUUCUAGUCUGAUUUAUUCAUGCAGUAUAUGCCUAUGCUACUAUAACACAACUGCUGUUCGUUUUCAAAUUGAUAUGCUUGAUUCUAUU